RNAcentral lists this unclassified non-coding RNA (1182 nucleotides) under Haliotis rubra (blacklip abalone). Its description in RNAcentral is "uncharacterized LOC124280651, transcript variant X1". The record is from RNAcentral. Lineage: Eukaryota; Metazoa; Mollusca; Gastropoda; Lepetellida; Haliotidae.
ACUUUAGACAUGACGAAUAACCCUUAUUGAACACAUGCACUAUGCACACUGGUGCACACCAGGAAGGUCGAUCGAAGGAGAAACAUAUCCAGCCAUUACCUGAAGCUAGAGGGAACUAAAUGGCGCCCAACGCAAGAACUGCGAAUAUCAAGAUGUUAAAUGAACUGAGAAUUCGAAGUUUCUUGGCCUCUAAAAUGAUGUACGAACAGUCAACCAGAUACAAUAACUAUGCUUUUUGGAACAGUGAUGUUAGCUAGUGGUCUUAUGGCCUUUGCUGGUGCUAAACUAACCGUGGGUGUUUAUCAGAACAUAUGGGAUUCAGCACCUAAAAUAAUCAUCGGGCUGGUCACUGGAUUUACAGUCUCCUUUCAAACUGGCAAAGUCUUUCUCAUUGAUUACUUUGAAAAGAAGCAAGGAAUCUAUAACGAAACAGCAUCAGGUUGGCAAAAACUGGAAUUGGACAUUGAAUUAUUUCUUAACUCUAUCGAGGUCAAAACCACAAUCAAAGAUAUCAGAGAGUUUACAAGUGAAUGUAUAAAACAACGGGAUGAUAUAUGUUCCAAGUCAAAACCAGAGGAAGACAUUUAUCAGAAAUACCAUGGUAACGCCGAUUUAGUUAUCAAGAAGUAUCGGAAGAAACACACUGUCAUUGCGUACAUUCUACAAACACUUGAUCGGGAGGAAGAAGCAGAAGGAGAAGAACAUCAAGAAGAAGAUCAAGAAGAUGAAUCUGACCUGGUUUGUUGGGCUUGUCUUCCGUUUGGUGUAUAUUAUUGUCUUUUGUACCAUCUGAUCAAAUUCUUUAUGAAGCAUGUCAACGAAAGUCGAUGCAAUUACCACCGUGAACAUUUCAUUUAAGAAAUCGAGUGUAAAAAGUAUGCUGUGGGUCUCUAUUGAAAUGAGUGAGCUGGCUUUUGAGAAGACAAGACAAGACAAGGGCCCAAAGGUGGAGGUACAUUGGUUUUCCCAAGUUACGCAACUCAGCUAAUUGCGGUGCCUGAGAUGACUGAACCCACACACCUCCGUUUCUCUAUUUACGGCUAUGGUACAUAGAUUGCAUGUAAUUAUGCAUGUUUUAUUUAUUCUAACAUCUCUGUUUCUGAUUUAUGGCUUAUUUAUUCUAACAUCUAUGUUUCUGAUUUAUGGCUUAUUUAUUCUAACAUCUAUGUUUCUGAUUUAUGG